Molecule: non-coding RNA, 74 nt
Organism: Triticum aestivum (bread wheat)
Lineage: Eukaryota; Viridiplantae; Streptophyta; Magnoliopsida; Poales; Poaceae
Source: Rfam
AGCGGGGUAGAGGAAUUGGUCAACUCAUCAGGCUCAUGACCUAAAGACUGCAGGUUCGAAUCCUUUCCCCACCU